GAGAAGUCCAGACAUUGACGAAGUCUGGAAGAGGCUCGGAGUAAAGUUGAACUUGACAGGAGAAAGUCUGGAAGAGAUUUGGAGAGUAGUCGAUCACUGUAGAAAAUCGGUUGAUAGUGAAGCCCAGAGAGCAUUUGGAGCAGUCUGAUAGAUGACUGAAGGAGCUUAUUAUUGGAGAAAUUCAGUGGGUACGAUAGGAGUUCGUCUGUUGGAGGAAUUUGGAGG
Molecule: long non-coding RNA, 225 nt
Filed under: Elaeis guineensis (African oil palm)
Lineage: Eukaryota; Viridiplantae; Streptophyta; Magnoliopsida; Arecales; Arecaceae
Description: long non-coding RNA (EGUI_LNC052259)
Source: RNAcentral